Long non-coding RNA from Pundamilia nyererei, 563 nucleotides. RefSeq lists it as uncharacterized. NCBI's taxonomy places the organism in Eukaryota, Metazoa, Chordata, Actinopteri, Cichliformes, Cichlidae. The transcript is spliced from 3 exons. The record is from RefSeq and is a predicted model, not a curated record.
UGAUUACGGACAGCUCAGCUGAUGAAACACCUGUUUCCCAUUCUGAGAUAUUAAAAGACACCCAGGAAAGCAAACUCCAGCACAUAGGACCAUCUAUUUUAAGAAAUCAGAGCCUUUUGGACAUCACACCUGGCCUUUGCUGACCUGAAGUCCUAUAUACUGCAUGUAAACUGUAUCUUGAUGCAUGCUCAAUCAUCCAGACUCCCAUUGGGUGAUACUCUAAUGGCCCUGCUAAGUAAGCUGGAUCUACAAAGGGACCAGGAUGGAUGACGCUAUUGGAAGGGUGAAAUCGGAAGUAACAGCCAUUGCAGCCAUCCAGUGUUAUUAAGAGCAGUCAUCCAGAUAUUGCUUUUCUUCAGCAUGAAGGAGGAAGUCUGCAGCUGUGGAAUGGGCUACUGUGUAGGAAGACUGCCAAACCAAACAGCCUUGUUAAAAGAAGGAAGUCAGGGUGCGAUAUCUCAGUACACGGGUGCCCAGAAAGCACUGCAUUUAUGAUAAAUUUGUACUGUUUUGCUGUCUUUUUACUCCAGACAUUCUAAUGUAACAAUGCAGAGAAGAUAAAA